CAUGUGGGGCAAGCGUUGUUCGGAAUUACUGGGCAUAAAGGGUGCGUAGGUGGUUUGUUAAGUCAGGGGUGAAAUCCCGCGGCCCAACCGUGGAACUGCCUUUGAUACUGGCGAACUUGAGUGCGUGAGGGGUAGGGGGAACGAGCAGUGUAGCGGUGAAAUGCGUAGAUAUUGCUCAAAAAGCCAGAGCCGAAGGGGCCCUACUAAUGCACAACUGACACUGAGGCACGAAAGCGUGGGGAGCAAACAGGAUUAGAUACCCUGAUAGUCCACGCCGUAAACUAUGAGCACUAGAUGGAUGCCGAGCUAUCGGUGUCUGUCGGAGGCAAUUUGGUAAGUGCUCCGCCUGGGGAGUAUGGUCGCAAGGCUG
RNAcentral lists this ribosomal RNA (370 nucleotides) under uncultured organism. RNAcentral's name for it is "bacterial SSU rRNA". It matches the Rfam family "Bacterial small subunit ribosomal RNA", at positions 526 to 896 of the family's 1533-position model. The record is from RNAcentral.